RNAcentral lists this transfer RNA (105 nucleotides) under Acidilobus saccharovorans 345-15. It matches the Rfam family "tRNA". From Rfam's summary of the family: Transfer RNA (tRNA) molecules are approximately 80 nucleotides in length. Lineage: Archaea; Thermoproteati; Thermoproteota; Thermoprotei; Acidilobales; Acidilobaceae. The record is from Rfam by way of RNAcentral.
GCCGCCGUAGCUCAGCAGGUUGGAGCGCCGGACUCAUACGGCCCUCGCGCCGAGGUCGGGGCUGGGGAAAUCCGGAGGUCCCGGGUUCAAACCCCGGCGGCGGCA